Molecule: long non-coding RNA, 549 nt
Organism: Austrofundulus limnaeus
Lineage: Eukaryota; Metazoa; Chordata; Actinopteri; Cyprinodontiformes; Rivulidae
Exons: 4
Source: RefSeq, a predicted model, not a curated record
AGAAACGUCCCUUCAGUCUCUCUGCUGUGCUAAAGUGACCUCUGUUGCUAAUCACUGGCCUCAUAUAAAAUAUGGCUCCUCCUGUCGCAGUGUCGCCUUUGAUUAAGACAGCCAGGUAUUCAGCUUUAAUUGCUGGCAUCAUCUAUGGAAAAAUGAGAUACGCUUACCUGAAACCCAUCGGGGCUGAGGAAAGGAGGAUCGAGGAGGAGAAAAAGGCCCUUGCGGAGCAGGAGCUCAUUGCUAAGAAGCUAGCAGAAGAAAAUGAAACCAUUUUGAAAUAAAUGGUUAUGAAGAUCUCCUUGUUCCUGUGAAAUGACCAACCUCGCCCUCCUUUCUCCGGAGUAAUAAUGACAAAGUCAGACACUCCUGUUUUGUGGAAGUGCUCACUGUCAAGACCGAUCCAACACCCCUCUGGAUUGUUAAAAGUAAUUUUGUUAAACUCAGUAUAAUAAAAAAAACUUCUGUACAACAACAAAUGUACUCAGAACUUCUAAAGCUGAUGUUUAUAAUGAAGCAAUAUGAUAAAUACAGAAACCUCUGAUCCCUGUA